RNAcentral lists this long non-coding RNA (522 nucleotides) under Physcomitrium patens. RNAcentral's name for it is "long non-coding RNA (PPAT_LNC007968)". The record is from RNAcentral. Lineage: Eukaryota; Viridiplantae; Streptophyta; Bryopsida; Funariales; Funariaceae.
CAAUGUAGUGUAAUAAUGUAAUACAACUAAUAGAUGAAAGAGUGAAGAAAUUAUCAUAUUUUAGAAGAUCUUAUUUCAAAAUAUUAUAAAAAAAUUAUUUUAAAAAUAUAAAUAAUAGUUAAAUGAUAGCAAACUAAAAAUAUAAAUACUGUAUUUUUAUAAAAUAGGCUUCUAUUUAUUUUGUAGAACCAUAAAUAAGGAAAAAUAAAAUCGAUUAAAAAAAUAAAGAAUAUAAGCAUAUAUAGGAAGGAAUUAGGAGUUGAUUUUAGCAGAAAUUACCUCGAGAAGACAAAACUUGAUACUUGGAGAGGACUAAUUUUCAACCUAGAUCAAAAUCAGAUCCCAAGACAUAAUAUUGCACAUCUGUAGCAACUUCAAGAUUCUUUUACAAAUCUAAAAGUAAAUUUUGAAAGAAGACUUUAUAGAAUUUUUUAAAGAAUUAAUUUCAAGUGAUUUGAGUUUAUAAUGACUUUGUGAGAGCUUUGCAAAAUCAAGGUUAUUUUAGAUGAUUCUAGAUUUUAU